RNAcentral lists this long non-coding RNA (560 nucleotides) under Pan troglodytes (chimpanzee). RNAcentral describes it as "long non-coding RNA NONPTRT014486". Lineage: Eukaryota; Metazoa; Chordata; Mammalia; Primates; Hominidae. The record is from RNAcentral.
CUUUCUUUCAUCUGAAUAGAGAGCUGCUGUUCGAGUAUUGAGGAUGAAAUACUACAGAUUGAAAUGCUCUGGAAUGCAGUUUUAAAUCUUUCAUCUGAACAUCAUUACAUCUGUGCCCAGGAAUUUCCAAAUUCUAAACCAAAUGAUACAGCUAGAGUUUGAAGACAAUUUGAGAGCUGGUGAAGAUGACAGUUACUUCUUUCUGUUUCUUGUUCUUUGUAUAAUGGAAAUGAAUGUUACUUUUAAUGAGUCAAUUGCAAGAAAUUAAGGUAUCUGCUAGACUCGUUCUUUCUUCCUUUCUUUCUCCCUCCCUGCAUCCCUCUCUUUUUCUCUUCCCCUUUCCCUCCCUCCCUCCCUCUCUUUUUCUUUGCUUUCUUCCUUUCUUCCUUCUUUCCUCCCUCCAUUUCUCCCUCCUUCUCUUCCUCUCUUUCUCCUCUUUGCCUCUACUUCUCUUCCUUCCUUCCAUCCGUCUGUCCUUCCUUGCUUUUGUUCAUUCCACUGACACACAAGGAAUACAUACAGUGGAGGUCCUACCAUGACCAGACACUGUACUAGGCAAA